This 545-nucleotide unclassified non-coding RNA is filed under the name uncultured eukaryote. Its description in RNAcentral is "partial contains fungal ITS1, 5.8S rRNA and ITS2". The stretch from base 159 to 312 matches the Rfam family "5.8S ribosomal RNA". The record is from RNAcentral.
GCCUGGCUUUCGCGGCCGGCUGAAGUAUUUUUUUCACCCAUGUCUUUUGCGCACUUGUUGUUUCCUGGGCGGGUUCGCCCGCCACCAGGACCAAACCAUAAACCUUUUUUUUCUUAUGCAGUUUCCAUCAGCGUCAGUAAAAACAAUGUAAUUAUUACAACUUUCAACAACGGAUCUCUUGGUUCUGGCAUCGAUGAAGAACGCAGCGAAAUGCGAUACGUAGUGUGAAUUGCAGAAUUCAGUGAAUCAUCGAAUCUUUGAACGCACAUUGCGCCCUUUGGUAUUCCAAAGGGCAUGCCUGUUCGAGCGUCAUUUGUACCUUCAAGCUUUGCUUGGUGUUGGGCGUUUUUUUGUCUCCCUCUUUCUGGGAGACUCGCCUUAAAACGAUUGGCAGCCGGCCUACUGGUUUCGGAGCGCAGCACAUUUUUUGCGCUUUGUAUCAGGAGAAAAGGACGGUACUCCAUCAAGACUCUACAUUUUUCACUUUUGACCUCGGAUCAGGUAGGGAUACCCGCUGAACUUAAGCAUAUCAAUAAGCGGAGGAA